RNAcentral lists this transfer RNA (68 nucleotides) under Macrohyliota sp. 2 MJ-2020. RNAcentral's name for it is "tRNA-Trp". The record is from RNAcentral. Lineage: Eukaryota; Metazoa; Arthropoda; Insecta; Coleoptera; Silvanidae.
AAGGAUUUAAGUUAAAAAAACUGGCAGCCUUCAAAGCUGUAAAUAGGAGAAUAGGCUUCUAAGCCUUA